This 6900-nucleotide long non-coding RNA is filed under the name Homo sapiens (human). RNAcentral's name for it is "HSALNT0360887". The record is from RNAcentral. Lineage: Eukaryota; Metazoa; Chordata; Mammalia; Primates; Hominidae.
AGCAAUUCCUGAGAAUCCUCGGAGGAAGAGGCCGGGGCCCGGUGCGGCAGCGCCUUGGGGGCGGAAUCGCAGGCGCGGGUCGGGCCUUGCUGGGGCGCGGGGCGCGGCCCCCGGAGAAAGCGGCCGCCUCGGGACAGGAGGGACCCGGGAGAAACCCCCCUGGGGCGGCUCCGCAUGUCGGGGUCGCGACUCUAGGCGACCUUGGUAGAGGGGCUCGUUUGCGCCGAGCUCGCGACCCCCGAGGGAGCCACGGCCCCGUGAACCACGCUGCCCGUCCUGGCCACUGGCUGCCGCCUUUGUUUCGUGGGACCCCAGCCCGCAAGGCCUGCGGAGCCGCGGCCUCGUCCCGAGUGUUCUGAGCGCGGUCCGAGCUGCUCCUGCGUCCACUCUGCUGCCGACACCCGAGCGUCGCCUGGAGCCCUGGCACUGAGGGGCGCAGGCCGAGUUCCAGACCAGCCUGGGAAACGCAAAGCGACCCCACCUCCACAAAAGUGGGUUUUCUUUAAGUUUUUGACUAGUCCGCAAUUCACAGAAUUGACAUUUUGGCAGAUGAAGAUUGCAAGUAAGGAAACUAACGGUAUCUCAGAUUUGUUCUUUAGCAAUUUGCUAAACCUCUCCUCUGACUGCCUUUAUUAGGUAUUUGUUUUCGAGACAGGGUCUCACUCCACUGCUUAGGCUGUACUGCAGUGGCGCGAUCCCAGCUCGCUGCAGCCUCCACCUCCCGGACUCCAGUGAUCCUCCCGCCUCAGCCUCCCAAGUAGCUGGUACCACAGGCGCCAGCACGCCUGGCUAAUUGUUGUAUUUUAUGUAGAGAAGAGGUCUCCCUGUGUUGCCCAGCCUGGUCUUGAAUUGGGCUCAAGUGAUCCUCCUGCUUCAGCCUCCCAUAUCGCUGGAAUUACUGGCAUAAGCCACUACACCCGGCCUGAUCAUCUUUAAAGAAGGUGGUUCUGGCCGGGCGUGGUGGCUCACACCUGUAACCCCAACACUUUGGGAGACCGAGAAGGGUGGAUCACCUGAGGUCAGGAGUUCAAGACCAGCCUGGCCAACGUGGUGAAACCCCAUCUCUACUAAAAAUACAAAAAUUAGCCAGGCAUGGUGGUGGGCACCUGUAAUUCCAGCUACUUGGGAGGCUGAGGCAGGAGAAUCGCUUGAACACGGGAAGCAGAGGUUGCAGCGAGCCUAGACCACACCAUUGCACUCCAGUUCGGGCAACAAGAUGAAACUCUGGCUGGGCGCGGUGGCUCACACCUGUAAUUCCAACACUUUGGGAGGCCAAGGCAGGCAGAUCACCUGAGGUCAGGAGUUCAAGACCAGCCUGGCCAAGAUGAUGAAACCCCAUCUCUACUAAAAUUACAAAAACUUAGCCAGGCAUGGUGGUGCAUGCCUGUAAUCCCAGCUACUCAGGAGGCUGAGGCAGGAGAACCACUUGAACCCAGGAGGCAGAGGUUGCAGUGAGCCAAGAUCGUGCCACUGUACUCCAGCCUGGGCAACAAGAGCGAAACUCCAUCUCAAAAAAGAAAAAAGAAACUCCGUCUCAAAAAGAAGGUGGUUCACACACACACACACACACCCCCAAGAAAGCUCAGGGCUGGAAGGCAGCCAACCUGGCUGUGACCCUCAUCCUGCACACGUGAGCUUGGUGACCAGUAGCUGAUUCUUUAACUCUCUAAGCUUUGGAGUCUGGAUGUGAGGUUUAGAAUUCAUGACAAGAAGCUGGAAGGAUGCCGCCAGUCUGACUCCUGGACUGGUUCUCUUGACAUCUUUGCAAAAGCUGCUGAAAUGUUCUGGUUUCAUUUCAUUCUUUUCUUUGCCAUGAUCUCUUAGAUUUGUUCGUGGCAAUUCUCAUAAGAGUGAAGAAAAUGUUUAAAAUGGCUGUUGGGCUCCCUUUUGUGACACCUUGUGGGGAAGGUGCCCAGGUAUGUAUAGGUGCUGAGCGCACGGCCAGCAUGGUGUCUGUGGCCGGGCCUCCCUCCUGGACAGUGCGGCCACAGCCCCUGAAAGGUAUGUCUUCAUUUUUAUUUUAUUUUAUUGAGAUGGAGUCUCGCUCUGUCGCCCAGGCUGGAGUGCAGUGGCGCGAUCUCGGCUCACUGUAAGCUCCGCCUCCCAGGUUCAAGCCAUUCUCCUGCCUCAGCCUCCCGAGUAGCUGGGACUACAGGCACCUGCCACCACGCCCGGCUAAUUUUUUUUUUUUUUUUUUUUUUGUAAUUUUAAUAGAGACAGGGUUUCAGCGUGUUAGCCAGGAUGGUCUCGAGCUCCUGACCUUGUGAUUCGCCCGCCUCAACCUCCCAAAGUGCCUGGCCUUCAUUUUUAUUUUUGAACUUACCUGCCUCACCUCGUUAUGUCUUUAUCUUAUUUUUAAACUUACUCAGUUCACCCACUGUGGAAUUGGGAGUAUAUGGAAGUAUUCCCACCCCCAGUUUUAUAUACCGCCCCAGAGCUGACCAUUCUCGCUCAUUUCCCCGGGUCCUGGCCGACUCGAGUGUGCCUUUCCUUCCGAUCCUGCUCCACACAGAUCUGAGGGAUGCUGCCCUUUCCUUCUCCACCUGCCCCUCCCUCACAUCCAGCCCCACCAGCCUACACGUUAGCUUAAAUAGGGAGCUUUUACAUUCCCCAUGAAAGGGAAUCCAGGGACAGGCUGAGGCAAGAGACCCCCAGUGUUCAUGAGAUGCCAUCUAGAGAAAACACCGUGGUGCUGAAGGCCUAAGUCAGACCCCGGGGAGAGAGGCACCAGGGUGACUUUGGGUGGAGAGUCCUGUGCCUGUUCUACUUCUAUAAAUAUACUCAGGUCAGGCACGGUGGCUCACGCCUGUAAUCCCAGCACGUUGGGAGGCCGAGGCAGGCGGAUCAUUUGAGGUCAGGAGUUCAAGACUAGCCUGGCCAACAUGGUGAAACCCCAUCUCUACUAAAAAUACAAAAAAAUGGCUGGGCACAGUGGCUCACACCUGUAAUCCCAGCAUGUUGGGAGGCCAAGGCAGGCAGAUCAUUUGCGGUCGGGAGUUCAAGACCAGCCUGACCAACAUGGAGAAACCCCGUCUCUACUAAUAAUACAAAAAUUAGCCAGGCAUGGUGGCACAUGCCUGUAAUCCCAGCUACUCGGGAGACUGAGGCAUAAGAAUCGCUUGAACCCAGGAGGCAGAGGUUCUGGUGAGCCGAGAUCACGCCAUUGCACUCCAGCCUGGGCAACAAAAAGCAAAACUCCAUCUCAAAAAAAAAAUACAAAAAAAUGAGCUGGGCGUGGUGGCCUGCACCUGUAAUCCCAGCUACUUGGGAGGCUGAGGCAGGAGAAUCACUUGAACCCAGAAGGUGGAGGUUGCGGUGAGCAGAGACCACACCACUGCACUCCAGCCUGGGUGACAGAGUGAACCAUGUCUCUAAAUAAAUAAAUAAUAUGUUUGUCUGAAAGUGCCUUUUUAACAAAGUAUGAGAUGUGUACAUAAAGUGCACAUAGCGCAAGUGUCGCACGCAGUGGAUUUUCACACGCAGCACGUGAAAUGGGAAAACACUGGCCCGGCACGGUGGCUCACACCUGUCAUCCCAGCACUUUGGGAGGCCGAGGCGGGCGGAUCACAAGGUCAGGAGAUCGAGACCAUCCUGGCUAACACGGUAAAACCGCGUCUCUACUAAAAAUACAAAAAAUUAGCCGGGCGUGGUGGCGGGCGCCUGUAGUCCCAGCUACUUGGGAGGCUGAGGCAGGAGAAUGGCGUGAACCCGGGAGGCGGAGCUUGCAGUGAGCCAAGAUCGCGCCACUGCACUCCAGCCUGGGCGACAGAGCUAGACUCCGUCUCAAAAAAAAAAAAAAAAAGAAAUGGGAAAACAUUGAGGAUGAAGUAGCAAAUAUUUGAGAAUUCAACUUGAUUGGUGGCUGUUGCAGGUUCAUACGUGAGUGGUUACGUAGUGGGUAGUUAAACUGACAAUGACCAGCUGAAUUUUGGUGACAGGACUGCUCCUAAGGUUUGAAAUGUAGCGUAUCCUCUGAUUCACGGGCUAAGCUCUGCCACUUAGCAGGAGGAGCUCAUGAUAGAGCAGGUUGAGGGGAAAACUUUGCCCCAUAAGGGUUCUUCACUGCAAGUGAGAAGGUCUUGGCUUUGAGCCUCCAAUUUCAAUCAGACAGAAAGCAGACCAGUCGGCAGGACAGUAUAUGCCUCUGGAGAUCCGUGCUGAUGUGGGGGCCUCAGAUACAAGAUGCCUCAGGGCCCAGGCGUGACCCUCUCCUUCCCUCCUGCACGGAGAUGCUGUGAGAAUUAGACACUCCCACAGGGCCCUGUCAGACACUGAGCUAGCCUCUGGGAACCGGAAGAUAUUCAAAACACCAGCCACCCCCCACACACACAGACAAGGCGCUGGAGGGACAGCUGUGCAGCGGCAGAGCAUGAGAGGUCUUGAUCAGUUAACUCAGUGAGGUUAGGAGGCGAAUUUUUUUUUUUUUGAGAUGGAGUCUUACUUUGUCACCCAGUCAGGAGUGCAGUGGCGUGAUCUCGGCUCACUGCAACCUCCGCCUCCUGGCCUCAAGUGAUUCUUCCGCCUCAGCCUCCCGAGUAGCUGGGACUACAGGUGCGUGCCACCACACCCAGCUAAUUUUUGUAUUUUUGGUAGAGACAGUGUUUCACCACGUUGGACAGGCUGGUCUCAAUCUCUUGACCUCGUUAUCUGCCUGCCCUGGCCUCCCAAAGUGCUGGGAUUAUAGGUGUGAGCCACAAAGCCUUUUUGUUUUCAUUUUUGAGAUGGAGUCUCGCUCUGUCGCCCAGGCUGGAGUGCAGUGGCAUGAUCUCAGCUCACUGCAACCUCUGCAUCCCAGUUCAAGCAGUUCUCCGCCUCGGCCUCCUGAGUAGCUGGGAUCACAGGUGCCCGCCACCACACUUGGCUAAUUUUUUGUAUUUUUAGUAGAGAUGAGGUUUCACCGUGGUGGCCAGGCUGGUCUCAAACUCCUGACCUCAAAUGAUCUGCCUGCCUCGGCUUCCCAAAGUGCUGGGAUGACACUGAGCCACCGCGCCUGGCAAGGAGUCUCGCUCUGCUCUUCCAGUUUGAAUAUCACGCAGGCUGGAGCGCAGUGGCGCAAUCUCGGCUCACUGCAACCUCUGCCUCCUGGGUUCAAGCAAUUCUGCCUCAGCCACCCGAGUAGCUGGGAUUACAGGCACACGCCACCAUGCCCGGCUAAUUUUUGUAUUGUAUUAGAGACAGGGUUUCACCAUGUUGGCGAGGCUGGUCCCGAACUCCUGGCCUCAAGUGAUCUGCCCGCCGUCCGCCUCAGUGUCCCGAGGUGCUGGGAUUACAGGUGUGAGCCACCGCACCCAGCAAAAGUGCUUUCUCGAGAUGGAAUCUGCGCCUGGUGAAGAUGCUCUAAACAUUGCUGAGAUAACAAAGGAUUUAGAAUAUUCCAUAAACUUCGUUGGUACAGCAGCGAUAGGGUUCGAGAGGAUUUUCCAGUUGUGAGAGAAGGUCUGCUGUGGACAAAAUGCUACCAAACAGCAUCGCGUGCUACGGAGAAAUCUUUUGUGAAAGGAAGAAGCUCAAUGUGGCCAGCUUUAUUGUUGUCUUAUUUUAAGAAAUUGCUGGCCGGGUGUGGUGGAGAAUCACUUGAACCCAGGAGGCAGAGGUUGCAGUGAGCCGAGAUCACGCCAUUGAACUCCAGCUGGGCAUAAGAGCAAAACUCCAUCUCAAAAAAAAAAAAAAAAAGGAAGAAAUUGCCACAGCCACCUCAGCCUUCAGCCACCACCACCCUGAUCAGUCAGCAGCCACAAACAAGACCUUCCACCAGCAAAGAGAUCCCAACUUCCUCAAGCCUCAGGUGAUUGCUGGCACUUUCUAUCAGUAUCUUAGUUUUUUGUUUGUUUGUUUUUUAAUUUUUGAGACAGAGUCUCACUCUCUUGCCCAGGCUGGAAUGUAGUGGCACCAUCUCGGCUCACUGCAACCUCCGCCUCCCAGGUUCAAGCGAUUCUCUUACCUUAGCCUCCGGAGGAGCUGGGACUACAAGCACGCACCACCACACCCGGCUGAUUUUUUUCCAUUUUUAGUAGAGACGGGGUUUCACCAUGUUGGCCAGGCUGGUCUCGAACUCCUGGCCUCAGGUGAUCCGCCCACCUUGGCCUCCCACAGUGCUAGGAUUACAGGUGUGAGCCACCACCCCCAGCCAUUUUUUUUUUGAGACGAGGUCUUGCUUUGUUGCCCAGACUAGAGUGCAGUGACAUUAUCUCGGCUCACGGCAACCUCUGCCUCCCAGGCUGAAGCAAUCCUCCCACCUCUGUCUCCCUAGUAGCUGGGACCACAGGUGCACACCCCCACACCCGGCUAAUUUUUUGUAUUUUUGGUAGAGACAGGGUUUCACCAUGUUGCCCAGGCUGGUCUCCUGAGCUCAUGCAAUCUGCCCACUUGACCUCCCAAAGUGCUGGGAUUACAGGUGUGAGCCACUGUGCCCAGCCUAUUAUUAUUAUUAUUUAUUGUUUUUUUGGUCUUGAGGGAGGGUAGGGUGGUGGGAGCCCAGUUGGGGAGGGAGUGAGGAGUGGUCAAUAAAGUAUUUUAAAUUGAGGCAUAUGCAUUGUUUUGUAAACAUAAUGUUAUUGCACACCUGACUGCACUGUGGUAUAAACAUAACUUUUAUAUGCAGUGGAAAACCGAAAAAUCCCUCCGACUGGCUUUAUUGCGACAUUUGUGUUAUUGCGGUGUCUAGAACUGAACCGUGGUAACCCAGGCCCGCCUGUGCUAACUUCCAGCACUACCGAGGUUGACGCAGCUAGAUGGUUUUCUCCCCGGCUGGUUGCUGCUUCUCACCCACAGAGGCGGUGGAGCCCUUGGAACUGGGCAGAACACAGGGCUGCCUUGUCACCACUGCCUGGCUGAACCUGAAAUUGGGCCGUUUGACAGAAAGACUUGAAAGGGCCACCAGUAAAUUCUUUUUUCUUUUCA